AGCUUUGCGCAGAUGCGGUGUCGUACCCAAUGAAGUGAUCACUGAGGGGCGACUAUUGCUAGCUGAAAACUCGCGCGGCAAUGUUUACGACCAUCUGCGGCAUUAGAGUCACUGUAUGUGCUCUCCUUGUGGAA
Small nuclear RNA from Dermacentor andersoni, 134 nucleotides. RefSeq annotates it as U4 spliceosomal RNA. Lineage: Eukaryota; Metazoa; Arthropoda; Arachnida; Ixodida; Ixodidae. The record is from RefSeq and is a predicted model, not a curated record.